RNAcentral lists this long non-coding RNA (284 nucleotides) under Athene cunicularia (burrowing owl). Its description in RNAcentral is "lncRNA (ENSACUG00000010660.1)". The record is from RNAcentral. Lineage: Eukaryota; Metazoa; Chordata; Aves; Strigiformes; Strigidae.
CUGAAUUUUCCAUUCAGUUUUUCCAUUCAGCUACUGCCCCCAAAAGCAGUAGCCAGCUGUGCUCUGUCUUCAGUAAUAUGGGAAUUGAAAUGCCUUGAUAGGAAGUUUGAGGUUGGAUCGCUGAAAUAAGUUUUGCCUGUGGCUGUUGCGGAAAAUUCCAUGUGGAUGUGCAAGCUUAUCAUCUGAUCUUCCAAGAUGCUGCUUGAGCCUAUUACCUAAUAGAGACACAAGAAAAUGGCCCAUCUGUUUGCAGUGGGCAAAUGUGUGAGUACUACUCUCUGGGG